UUAUGACCAUAUCAUGUUGAAACACUGGUUCUUGUACAUUCACCAAAGCAAAGCAACGUCAAGCCUGGCCAGUACCUAGAUGGGUGACCGCUUGGGAAUAUCAGGUGUUGUAAG
Molecule: non-coding RNA, 114 nt
Organism: Acanthosepion pharaonis
Lineage: Eukaryota; Metazoa; Mollusca; Cephalopoda; Sepiida; Sepiidae
Source: the annotation of a GenBank genome assembly